This 380-nucleotide ribosomal RNA is filed under the name uncultured eukaryote. RNAcentral describes it as "partial 18S ribosomal RNA". It matches the Rfam family "Eukaryotic small subunit ribosomal RNA", at positions 592 to 976 of the family's 1831-position model. The record is from RNAcentral.
CAAUAGCGUAUAUUAAAGUUGUUGCAGUUAAAAAGCUCGUAGUUGGAUUUGUGGCGUACGGUGUGUUCCGGGCACUUGUUGUCUGAGUAACCUGCUGUUGCCAUCCUUGGGUGGAACCUGUGUGGCAUUAGGUUGUCGUGCAGGGGAUGCCCAUCAUUUACUGUGAAAAAAUUAGAGUGUUCAAAGCAGGCUUAUGCCGUUGAAUAUAUUAGCAUGGAAUAAUGAGAUAGGACUUUUUUGCUAUUUUGUUGGUUUGCGUAAAGAGGUAAUGAUUAAUAGGGACAGUUGGGGGUAUUCGUAUUCCAUAGUCAGAGGUGAAAUUCUUGGAUUUUUGGAAGACGAACUACUGCGAAAGCAUUUACCAAGGAUGUUUUCAUUAA